AGAAUCAACGCUGGCGGCGUGCCUAACACAUGCAAGUCGAACGCGAAAGGGGAGCAAUCCCUGAGUAGAGUGGCAAACGGGUGAGUAACACGUGGGUGACCUGCCUUCGAGUGGGGGAUAACGUUCCGAAAGGAACGCUAAUACCGCACGACAUCCUGCUUUUGGAAAAGCGGAGAUCAAAGCUGGGGAUUCGCAAGAACCUAGCGCUUGAAGAGGGGCCCGCGCCUGAUUAGCUAGUUGGUGAGGUAACGGCUCACCAAGGCUACGAUCAGUA
This 274-nucleotide ribosomal RNA is filed under the name uncultured soil bacterium. RNAcentral describes it as "partial 16S ribosomal RNA". It matches the Rfam family "Bacterial small subunit ribosomal RNA", at positions 26 to 285 of the family's 1533-position model. The record is from RNAcentral.